CAUAACCAGGUGCAUGCAUACUCGAGGGCUCUUUCACACGAGACGGCACAGACCCACGCAUGUCUCAUGUCUCGCCCGUCAUCGUCGUCUUCUCCUCCUCAGAUUUAUUACGACAUAUAUAUUAGCUAUCUCCACCAUCUCUUCAUUCAGAGCCAGAAAUAAAGGCAACACCGACCAAGCACAAGCUAGCUUCUUGCAUCUAUCCAUAAUGGACCGGAGCAACAUUGGAAGCCUUGGGUUGGUGGCGGUGGUGGCUGUGGUGUCGACUAGCAUCAUCCUUGUAUCCUGCCACCUCCGUCGCCGCCUCCAAGAUGAUACCAAACUCAACAAGAUCGCCGAGCAACAACGGCAGAGCAAGACGACAAUGAAGGAGGUGGGGUUCAUGGACGAUGUGGCGGAGGAUCUCUCAUCGGAUGAAGAGGAGUGUCCCCGUCGACUGGGUAAGACCGCCAUUGGUGUCCCCAUCCAACCAUCGCUACGCAGGGUCCCUCGAUUCAACAAUUUGGCAUUCGAGUUUAAUUAAUUAAUUAAUUAAUUAGAUUGUAUUGUAGCAAGUCGGGGCACAAGAAAUAAAGCAGCAUUUUGCUUGCACAUCCAGUCGAGUGAAUUAUUAUUAUUACCAUCUCAGUUAUAAUAAUUAAGGUGUUUAAUUUGGCAAGCAUGGAGAAUGGAGGGUACUUGGGGACCCAAUACAUUCUUGUGAUAA
Long non-coding RNA from Triticum aestivum (bread wheat), 706 nucleotides. RefSeq lists it as uncharacterized. The record is from RefSeq and is a predicted model, not a curated record. NCBI's taxonomy places the organism in Eukaryota, Viridiplantae, Streptophyta, Magnoliopsida, Poales, Poaceae. The transcript is spliced from 2 exons.